This 481-nucleotide ribosomal RNA is filed under the name uncultured bacterium. RNAcentral describes it as "partial 16S ribosomal RNA". It matches the Rfam family "Bacterial small subunit ribosomal RNA", at positions 30 to 506 of the family's 1533-position model. The record is from RNAcentral.
AUUGAACGCUGGCGGCAUGCCUUACACAUGCAAGUCGAACGGUAACGGGCCUUCGGGUGCCGACGAGUGGCGAACGGGUGAGUAAUACAUCCGAACGUGCCCGAUCGUGGUGGAUAACGAGGCGAAAGCUUUGCUAAUACCGCAUACGAUCUACGGAUGAAAGCAGGGGACCGCAAGGCCUUGCGCGGACGGAGCUGCCGAUGGCAGAUUAGGUAGUUGGUGGGAUAAAAGCUUACCAAGCCGACGAUCUGUAGCUGGUCUGAGAGGAUGAUCAGCCACACUGGGACUGAGACACGGCCCAGACUCCUACGGGAGGCAGCAGUGGGGAAUUUUGGACAAUGGGCGCAAGCCUGAUCCAGCCAUGCCGCGUGCAGGAUGAAGGCCUUCGGGUUGUAAACUUCUUUUGUACGGAACGAAAAGCCUUCUUUUAAUACAGGAGGGUCAUGACGGUACCGUAAGAAUAAGCACCGGCUAACUACGU